This 449-nucleotide ribosomal RNA is filed under the name uncultured Leptolinea sp. Its description in RNAcentral is "bacterial SSU rRNA". It matches the Rfam family "Bacterial small subunit ribosomal RNA", at positions 919 to 1382 of the family's 1533-position model. Lineage: Bacteria; Bacillati; Chloroflexota; Anaerolineae; Anaerolineales; Anaerolineaceae. The record is from RNAcentral.
ACCCGCACAAGCAGCGGAGCGUGUGGUUUAAUUCGUUGCUACACGAAGAACCUUACCUGGGUUUGACAUAUAGGUUGUAGGGAACUGAAAAGGGACGACCCUUCGGGGAGCCUAUACAGGUGUUGCAUGGCUGUCGUCAGCUCGUGUCGUGAGAUGUUCGGUUAAGUCCGCUAACGAGCGCAACCCUCGCUGUGUGUUACAAGUGUCACACGGUACUGCCGGUCUUAAGCCGGAGGAAGGUGGGGAUGACGUCAAGUCAGCAUGGCCUUUAUGUCCUGGGCUACAUACACGCUACAAUGGCCAACACAAUAGGUUGCUAAGCCGCGAGGUGGAGCCAAUCCUCAAAGUUGGUCUCAGUUCAGAUUGCAGGCUGCAACCCGCCUGCAUGAAGAUGGAGUUGCUAGUAACCGCAGGUCAGCUAUACUGCGGUGAAUACGUUCCCGGGGCUU